RNAcentral lists this ribosomal RNA (743 nucleotides) under uncultured bacterium. Its description in RNAcentral is "bacterial SSU rRNA". It matches the Rfam family "Bacterial small subunit ribosomal RNA", at positions 94 to 823 of the family's 1533-position model. The record is from RNAcentral.
AGCGGCGGAUGGGUGAGUAACACGUGGGGAACCUGCCCCUAAGUCUGGGAUACCAUUUGGAAACAGGUGCUAAUACCGGAUAAUAAAGCAGAUCGCAUGAUCAGCUUUUGAAAGGCGGCGUAAGCUGUCGCUAAGGGAUGGCCCCGCGGUGCAUUAGCUAGUUGGUAAGGUAACGGCUUACCAAGGCGACGAUGCAUAGCCGAGUUGAGAGACUGAUCGGCCACAUUGGGACUGAGACACGGCCCAAACUCCUACGGGAGGCAGCAGUAGGGAAUCUUCCACAAUGGACGCAAGUCUGAUGGAGCAACGCCGCGUGAGUGAAGAAGGUUUUCGGAUCGUAAAGCUCUGUUGUUGGUGAAGAAGGAUAGAGGUAGUAACUGGCCUUUACUUGACGGUAAUCAACCAGAAAGUCACGGCUAACUACGUGCCAGCAGCCGCGGUAAUACGUAGGUGACAAGCGUUGUCCGGAUUUAUUGGGCGUAAAGCGAGCGCAGGCGGAAAAAUAAGUCUAAUGUGAAAGCCCUCGGCUUAACCGAGGAACUGCAUCGGAAACUGUUUUUCUUGAGUGCAGAAGAGGAGAGUGGAACUCCAUGUGUAGCGGUGGAAUGCGUAGAUAUAUGGAAGAACACCAGUGGCGAAGGCGGCUCUCUGGUCUGCAACUGACGCUGAGGCUCGAAAGCAUGGGUAGCGAACAGGAUUAGAUACCCUGGUAGUCCAUGCCGUAAACGAUGAGUGCUAAGUGU